UCCGGUUUGUCACCGGCAGUCUCCUUAGAGUGCCCUUGCGUAGCAACUAAGGACAAGGGUUGCGCUCGUUGCGGGACUUAACCCAACAUCUCACGACACGAGCUGACGACAGCCAUGCAGCACCUGUGUUACGGCUCCCUUUCGGGCACACCCCCAUCUCUGAGGGCUUCCGUACAUGUCAAGGGUAGGUAAGGUGGGGAUGACGUUUUCGGAUUCUAAG
RNAcentral lists this unclassified non-coding RNA (220 nucleotides) under uncultured Gammaproteobacteria bacterium. Its description in RNAcentral is "contains 16S-23S intergenic spacer region". The record is from RNAcentral. Lineage: Bacteria; Pseudomonadati; Pseudomonadota; Gammaproteobacteria.